CUUUGGUGCUUGCCCGAAAGACGAGUGGCGAACGGGUGCGUAACGCGUAUGCAAAUCUACCUUUUACUAGGGUAUAGCCCUGAAGAAAUUUGGAUUAAUCCCCUAUAAUAUCAUGAAUUCGCAUGAUUUUAUGAUUAAAGCUUCGGCGGUAAAAGAUGAGCAUGCGUCCUAUUAGUUAGUAGGUGAGGUAACGGCUCACCUAGACUACGAUAGGUAGGGGUCCUGAGAGGGAGAUCCCCCACACUGGUACUGAGACACGGACCAGACUCCUACGGGAGGCAGCAGUGAGGAAUAUUGGACAAUGGACGAAAGUCUGAUCCAGCUAUGCCGCGUGCAGGAUGACGGCCCUAUGGGUUGUAAACUGCUUUUAUACAGGAAGAAAAAUUCCGACGUGUCGGAACUUGACGGUACUGUAAGAAUAAGGAUCGGCUAACUCCGUGCCAGCAGCCGCGGUAAUACGGAGGAUCCAAGCGUUAUC
RNAcentral lists this ribosomal RNA (478 nucleotides) under uncultured Bacteroidota bacterium. RNAcentral describes it as "bacterial SSU rRNA". It matches the Rfam family "Bacterial small subunit ribosomal RNA", at positions 71 to 545 of the family's 1533-position model. The record is from RNAcentral. Lineage: Bacteria; Pseudomonadati; Bacteroidota.